CCUACGGGAGGCAGCAGUGAGGAAUAUUGGUCAAUGGGCGGAAGCCUGAACCAGCCAAGUCGCGUGAGGGAAUAAGGCCCUACGGGUCGUAAACCUCUCUUGCCGGGGAGCAAGGGCCGGGACGCGUCCCGGCCCGGAGAGUACCCGGAGAAAAAGCAUCGGCUAACUCCGUGCCAGCAGCCGCGGUAAUACGGAGGAUGCGAGCGUUAUCCGGAUUUAUUGGGUUUAAAGGGUGCGUAGGCGGAUUGAUAAGUUAGAGGUGAAAUGUCCGAGCUUAACUCGGGAACUGCCUCUAAUACUGUUGU
Molecule: ribosomal RNA, 305 nt
Filed under: uncultured bacterium
Lineage: Bacteria
Description: bacterial SSU rRNA
Rfam family: Bacterial small subunit ribosomal RNA
Source: RNAcentral